This is an RNA transcript of Fukomys damarensis (Damara mole-rat), 1405 nucleotides long. It is a transcript of the gene named testis expressed 43, with no coding region annotated. The transcript has 2 exons. The record is from RefSeq and is a predicted model, not a curated record. Lineage: Eukaryota; Metazoa; Chordata; Mammalia; Rodentia; Bathyergidae.
UGAUGGUUUCGGACAAAGACACUUGUCCUCCCUGCCCUGAGCUGGCCUGCAGCUGCUCUGCCGAGAAUCCCCAUAAGCCUGCCACUAAGUGAGCACCGAAAGGGCCCAAGAGAAGGGGCGUCUGUCUGCCGCUCAGGCUGGGAACUGUAGACGAGGAGCUGCUCCUUCGCAUACACAGGGAGCCUCAGGUUCCCGAGGAAACGGUGGGGUGUGGUACUGAGAAAGCAGGCCUGACGGAGUGUGGGGCUGUGUCCCCUCCAGACAGGCCAGCUGCUGGCUGUCCCCCCCUGGCCGGAGACUGCCUUGUACCGCAUGGUGCGCUGCCUCUCCUUGGAAUGGGGUCCUCCUGACCCUGCGCACAAACCGCAUGCACUUGGAGGUGCAGACAGCCAGCCCUGCUCCAUCUUGGUGCUAGGUGGGGUGUGAAGGUGACUGUCGGGGCCUCAGUGUCAACUCUGGGUCCAGACAUCGUGGCUCCCUUCCUUGGAAUGAUGCUAGAGCAACUAUCAACUCACAAGGCCUCCUUUCUUUCCUAAUCAUCAGGUAUGAAGAGAUUCAUUUGCCACAGUUUUCCCUGAUGCACAGAAUGAUUCCGAUGCGUUACGUUAUGCCUUGGAAAGAAAACAUGAAAUUCAGGAAUGUGAACCUGAAGGAAGCUACCAAGAAGGGGAAUCCUGAGAGUAAGAAGUGAUUUUUAGGACCCACAUUUAAUCACAAUACCAUAAUAUAGUGAACCAGAUGCGGGUCACACCCCACAGCCAGGCCAGAAUGCUGCUCGUCAGAAGGAAAGGAGCAGAGUCAGAACCUCAAGUAGCUGCUGCCUGUACAGCGAGACUUGUAAGAGUCGCACCAUAAUGAGACCGGUUUAAUGCCUGAAAUUGGCAAAAGCUCUCACUCACUGGUGGGCUUUUUGUGAGUUCUUUUUCUUUCUUUGGUGCCGCCGAAUGAACCCAGGGCCUCUCUCACGCUAGGCGAGUGCUGUGCCACGCAUUUGCUUAAUGUUUUGUUCAAAACUCCAAGAACUCUUCAAUAUUCCCAUUUUAUAGGUGAAAAACUGAAUUGUGGGGGGAGUUGUAGGUGAUCUUUCCAAGUUCACGUAAGCAGGGAGCGAAAGUUCAAAAACCCAACUGCAGAUGUAUCUGUCACCUUUGUGACUGCCGUCUCCCUGGUACUUCAUGGUAGUAACACUGACCCCGAAGACUUCUGCCCUGAUGUCCGUCAGACAGAAAAGCUCAUCAGGAAGCAGGGUCUCCCCGUGGGCCCUCAGACCGCCUUUGUCUCCCGGGCUCGCCCUACCUCAAGCCUUCCGAGUGCUGUGUGUGCCACCAUGGCCGGCCGACACUUCCGUCUUAAUCUAACGAGAGAAGGGUGUUUGCUGUGAUGCAGCAUUAAGCAGAGGUUUCUG